CCUACGGGAGGCAGCAGUGAGGAAUAUUGGUCAAUGGGCGAGAGCCUGAACCAGCCAAGUCGCGUGAGGGAGUACUGCCCUAUGGGUUGUAAACCUCUUUUGUCGGGGAGCAAAAGCCGGACGUGUCCGGCUGUGAGAGUACCCGAAGAAAAAGCAUCGGCUAACUCCGUGCCAGCAGCCGCGGUAAUACGGAGGAUGCGAGCGUUAUCCGGAUUUAUUGGGUUUAAAGGGUGCGCAGGCGGAUUUUUAAGUCAGCGGUCAAAUCGUGGGGAUCAACCCCAUCCAGCCGUGAAAAGGGGGGAUGUGAGGUGUGGAGGGGGUAUGGGGAAGGCGUGUGUAGCGGUGAAAUGCAUAGAUAUCACGCAGAACCCCGAUUGCGAAGGCAGCAUACCGGUGCACAACUGACGCUCAGGCACGAAAGCGUGGGUAUCGAACAGGAUUAGAUACCCUUGUAGUC
This 457-nucleotide ribosomal RNA is filed under the name uncultured bacterium. Its description in RNAcentral is "partial 16S ribosomal RNA". It matches the Rfam family "Bacterial small subunit ribosomal RNA", at positions 338 to 795 of the family's 1533-position model. The record is from RNAcentral.